RNAcentral lists this ribosomal RNA (377 nucleotides) under uncultured bacterium. RNAcentral describes it as "bacterial SSU rRNA". It matches the Rfam family "Bacterial small subunit ribosomal RNA", at positions 28 to 404 of the family's 1533-position model. The record is from RNAcentral.
GACGAACGCUGGCGGCGUGCUUAACACAUGCAAGUCGAGCGGUAAGGCCCUUUCGGGGGUACACGAGCGGCGAACGGGUGAGUAACACGGGGGUGACCUGCCCUCAGCUCUGGGAUAAGCCUGGGAAACCGGGUCUAAUACCGGAUAUGACUCCAUGACGCAUGUUGUGGGGUGGAAAGCCUUGUGCGGCUGAGGAUGGGCCCGCGGCCUAUCAGCUUGUUGGUGGGGUGAUGGCCUACCAAGGCGACGACGGGUAGCCGGCCUGAGAGGGCGACCGGCCACACUGGGGCUGAGACACGGCCCAGACUCCUACGGGAGGCAGCAGGUGGGGAAUCUUGCGCAAGUGGGCGAAAGCCUGACGCAGCGACGCCGCGUGA